RNAcentral lists this ribosomal RNA (272 nucleotides) under uncultured Subdoligranulum sp. RNAcentral's name for it is "partial 16S ribosomal RNA". It matches the Rfam family "Bacterial small subunit ribosomal RNA", at positions 59 to 339 of the family's 1533-position model. The record is from RNAcentral. Lineage: Bacteria; Bacillati; Bacillota; Clostridia; Eubacteriales; Oscillospiraceae.
AUUGAAGCCUAGCGAUGUGUAAGUUAGUGGCGGACGGGUGAGUAACGCGUGGGUAACCUGCCUUGUACUGGGGGACAACAGUUGGAAACGACUGCUAAUACCGCAUAAGCCCACGGAUUCGCAUGGAUCUGCGGGAAAAGGAUUUAUUCGCUCUAGGAUGGACUCGCGUCCAAUUAGCUAGUUGGUGAGGUAACGGCCCACCAUGGCGACGAUUGGUAGCCGGACUGAGAGGUUGAUCGGCCACAUUGGGACUGAGACACGGCCCAGACUCC